GACGAACGCUGGCGGCGUGCUUAACACAUGCAAGUCGUACGGUAAGGCCCUUUCGGGGGUCCACGAGUGGCGAACGGGUGAGUAACACGUGAGUAACCUGCCCACAACUUUGGGAUAACGCUAGGAAACUGGUGCUAAUACUGGAUAUGUGCUCCUGCUGCAUGGUGGGGGUUGGAAAGCUCCGGCGGUUGUGGAUGGACUCGCGGCCUAUCAGCUUGUUGGUGGGGUAGUGGCCUACCAAGGCGGCGACGGGUAGCCGGCCUGAGAGGGUGACCGGCCACAUUGGGACUGAGAUACGGCCCAGACGCCUACGGGAGGCAGCAGUGGGGAAUAUUGCACAAUGGGCGCAAGCCUGAUGCAGCAACGCCGCGUGCGGGAUGACGGCCUUCGGGUUGUAAACCGCUUUCAGCAGGGACGAAGCCUUUUGUGACGGUACCUGCAGAAGAAGCACCGGCUAACUACGUG
This 465-nucleotide ribosomal RNA is filed under the name uncultured bacterium. RNAcentral describes it as "partial 16S ribosomal RNA". It matches the Rfam family "Bacterial small subunit ribosomal RNA", at positions 28 to 507 of the family's 1533-position model. The record is from RNAcentral.